AUGGCCGUGGCGUGGAACGAUGGGGCGGCGGAAACCAAGUGGCUGAAGCACUACUCUUCGGCGCAGGACAUCCUGGUCGUCGGCGACGGGGACUUCUCGUUCUCGCUGGCGCUCGCCACCGCCUUCGGCUCCGGCGAGAACCUCGUCGCCACGUCCCUCGACUCCUACGAGAGUCUGAGCCACAACUACAGCGACGCAACAUCCAAUGUGGCGAAGCUUGAGGCGAUGGGUGCCACGGUUCUGCACGACGUCAACGUGAAAGUGAUGAAUCUCCACGCCGAUCUGGAGCCGAGACUGUUCGAUCGGAUCGUCUUCAAUUUUCCUCACGCCGGGUUCAGAGGGCGCGAGGACGACGAAGAUACAAUCAGGUCGCAUCAGAAGCUGGUGUGGAGAUUCUUCGCCACCGCGCGGCACAUGCUCCGGCGUCACGGCGAGAUCCACGUCACCCACAAGACCAAGCAUCCGUUCUCCAUGUGGUGUAUCGAGCAGCUAGCAUCCGAGUCCUCGCUUGCUAUGGUCGAGAAAGCUGCCUUUCAGAUAGAAGACUACCCUGGUUAUAACCAGAAGAGAGGGUCGAGCUGGAGGUGCGGCCAUGGCUUCGCUAUAGGUCACUGCUCCACCUUCAAGUUCCGCCUCGAAUAG
Molecule: ribosomal RNA, 642 nt
Filed under: Triticum aestivum (bread wheat)
Lineage: Eukaryota; Viridiplantae; Streptophyta; Magnoliopsida; Poales; Poaceae
Description: partial small subunit ribosomal RNA
Source: RNAcentral